GCAUAUCAAUAAGCGGAGGAAAAGAAACUAACCAGGAUUCCCCUAGUAACGGCGAGCGAACAGGGAAGAGCCCAACUUGAAAAUCCUCAGUUCUUCGCGGAACUGUCGAAUUGUAGUCUAAAGAGGAUGCCUCUGCUUCCGCCUUAGCCCAAGUUCCCUGGAACGGGACGCCAGAGAGGGUGAGAGCCCCGUCGGCUGAGGCUUACGCUCCACGAGGCUCCUUCACCGAGUCGCGUAGUUUGGGAAUGCUGCGCUAAUUGGGUGGUAAACUCCAUCUAAGGCUAAAUACCGGCGAGAGACCGAUAGCGAACAAGUACCGCGAGGGAAAGAUGAAAAGAACUUUGAAAAGAGAGUUAAAAAGUGCUUGAAAUUGUUGAGGGGGAAGCGAUUGGAGGCUACGGGUGUUCCUUGGUAUUCGCGGCAACCCCGUUAUUUACACAAGGAGCUGGUCAGCGUGGGUUUCCUCUUUCGGAUUUGGCGAUCGAGGAGACUGAGGCUCGGAGACGAUGUCCAGACGCUGGCGGAAGGUUUCCAAUCGGCCCGUCUUGAAACACGGACC
This 559-nucleotide ribosomal RNA is filed under the name uncultured eukaryote. RNAcentral's name for it is "eukaryotic LSU rRNA". It matches the Rfam family "Eukaryotic large subunit ribosomal RNA", at positions 38 to 667 of the family's 3401-position model. The record is from RNAcentral.